AUUGAACGCUGGCGGAAUGCUUUACACAUGCAAGUCGAACGGCAGCACGGACUUCGGUCUGGUGGCGAGUGGCGAACGGGUGAGUAAUGUAUCGGAACGUGCCCAGUCGUGGGGAAUAACGUAGUGAAAAUUACGCUAAUACCGCAUACGAUCUAUGGAUGAAAGCGGGGGAUCGCAAGACCUCGCGCGAUUGGAGCGGCCGAUAUCAGAUUAGGUAGUUGGUGGGGUAAAGGCCCACCAAGCCAAUGAUCUGUAGCUGGUCUGAGAGGACGACCAGCCACACUGGAACUGAGACACGGUCCAGACUCCUACGGGAGGCAGCAGUGGGGAAUUUUGGACAAUGGGCGAAAGCCUGAUCCAGCCAUUCCGCGUGCAGGAUGAAGGCCCUCGGGUUGUAAACUGCUUUUGUACAGAACGAAAAGGUUUCUACUAAUACUAGGAGCUCAUGACGGUACUGUAAGAAUAAGCACCGGCUAACUACGUGCCAGCAGCCGCGGUAA
This 500-nucleotide ribosomal RNA is filed under the name uncultured bacterium. RNAcentral's name for it is "partial 16S ribosomal RNA". It matches the Rfam family "Bacterial small subunit ribosomal RNA", at positions 30 to 523 of the family's 1533-position model. The record is from RNAcentral.